UCUGUCCAGUAAUAAGAAAGUUAGAUUUUUGUGAUAAAGUGCAAAUUUAUUUAUGGUCUAUAAAUUUGAUAUUACGGGCCUGUAUAUUUUGUUAUACAUGCGUUCUGGAAUGCAAGAAAAUCGUGAAAGUUAUGUUUCACGCUUUCUGCUUAGGGUAAAUAUGCAUAUAUAUUGAACGAUUUUAAAUCUUCUUGGGGACUCACAAGACGCACAAGGUCAUUAUGACAGACAAAUUUAUUCUUGUGGUGUAAAUUUUUAAGCUUGCGCAAGCUUCUACUCGGAGGAUUCACCUUCAAUUUUGUAUCACGCAUGUGUUCAACAUUGCGACGAUAGUGGAUAUUGUGACGUAGCGACGCAGUCUUUAAUCUACAUUCUGUAGACAGUACAGAAUCGAUCUUCCUGCUUUGAAUGGGCCACAUCUGGAGAUUGUGACGUAGAGACCCCACAUCCAGUCUUGGAUCUACACUCUGUAGACAGUACAGAAUCGAUUUUCUGCUUAAGAUGGGUCACAUCUCGAGCAUCAGUGUAUUUGUUUUGAGUUAAGCCACCGGGACAAUGUGACAAAGUGCUAUUCGACAGGACACGGAACUUUAAUAUAUUUUGUUUUCCCCUUUUCCUCUCUUCAUUUAUUGCUCAUCAUUUAAUUUCAUUUAUGAAUAGUCAUUUAUUUUUUGUAAAUAUAUAUUUAAAUAGUU
Long non-coding RNA from Ruditapes philippinarum (Manila clam), 695 nucleotides. RefSeq lists it as uncharacterized. The transcript has 2 exons. The record is from RefSeq and is a predicted model, not a curated record. Lineage: Eukaryota; Metazoa; Mollusca; Bivalvia; Venerida; Veneridae.